AUUGAACGCUGGCGGCAGGCCUAACACAUGCAAGUCGAGCGAGCGGCGGACGGGUGAGUAAUGUAUGGGGACUGCCCGAUAGAGGGGGAUAACUACUGGAAACGGUAGCUAAUACCGCAUACUAUCGGAUAACCCAUAUGGGAUUAGCUAGUAGGUGAGGUAAUGGCUCACCUAGGCGACGAUCCCUAGCUGGUCUGAGAGGAUGAUCAGCCACACGGGGACUGAGACCCGGCCUAGAAGCCGAGGGAGGCAGCAGUGGGGAAUAGUGCAAAAUGGGCGAAAGCCUGAUGCAGCCAUGCCGCGUGUAUGAAGAAGGCCCUAGGGUUGUAAAGUACUUUCAGUCGGGAGGCGUUACCGACAGAAGAAGCACCGGCUAACUCCGUGACAGCAGCCGCGGUAAA
RNAcentral lists this ribosomal RNA (401 nucleotides) under uncultured bacterium. RNAcentral describes it as "partial 16S ribosomal RNA". It matches the Rfam family "Bacterial small subunit ribosomal RNA", at positions 29 to 524 of the family's 1533-position model. The record is from RNAcentral.